This 548-nucleotide ribosomal RNA is filed under the name Lactifluus quercicola. Its description in RNAcentral is "Lactifluus sp. 81 HL-2019 partial large subunit ribosomal RNA". It matches the Rfam family "Eukaryotic large subunit ribosomal RNA", at positions 85 to 631 of the family's 3401-position model. Lineage: Eukaryota; Fungi; Basidiomycota; Agaricomycetes; Russulales; Russulaceae. The record is from RNAcentral.
AACUGCGAGUGAAGCGGGAAAAGCUCAAAUUUAAAAUCUGGCAGUCUUUUGGCUGUCCGAGUUGUAAUUUAGAGAAGCGUCUUCCGCGCCGGACCGUGCACAAGUCUCCUGGAAUGGAGCGUCAUAGAGGGUGAGAAUCCCGUCUUUGGCAUGGACACCCGGGGCUUCUGCGAUGCGCUCUCGAAGAGUCGAGUUGUUUGGGAAUGCAGCUCAAAAUGGGUGGUGAACUCCAUCUAAAGCUAAAUAUUGGCGAGAGACCGAUAGCGAACAAGUACCGUGAGGGAAAGAUGAAAAGCACUUUGGAAAGAGAGUGAAACAGUACGUGAAAUUGUUGAAAGGGAAACGCUUGAAGUCAGUCGCGUCGAUCGAGACUCAGCCUUGCCUUGGCUUGGCAUACUUCUCGGCUGACGGGCCAGCAUCAAUUUUGUCUCUCGGAUAAUGGCAAGGGAAAGGUGGCACCUUUACCGGUGUGUUAUAGUCUCCUGUCGCAUGCGAGGGGUGGGAUUGAGGAACUCAGCACGCACCUCUUGGUGUCGGGGCUUCUGCCC